AUUGAACGCUGGCGGAAUGUUUUACACAUGCAAGUCGAACGGCAGCGCGGGUGCUUGCACCUGGCGGCGAGUGGCGAACGGGUGAGUAAUACAUCGGAACGUGCCUAGUAGUGGGGGAUAACUACUCGAAAGAGUGGCUAAUACCGCAUGAGAUCUACGGAUGAAAGCAGGGGAUCGCAAGACCUUGUGCUACUAGAGCGGCCGAUGGCAGAUUAGCUAGUUGGUGGGGUAAAGGCCUACCAAGGCGACGAUCAGUAGCUGGUCUGAGAGGACGAUCAGCCACACUGGGACUGAGACACGGCCCAGACUCCUACGGGAGGCAGCAGUGGGGAAUUUUGGACAAUGGGCGAAAGCCUGAUCCAGCAAUGCCGCGUGCAGGAUGAAGGCCCUCGGGUUGUAAACUGCUUUUGUACGGAACGAAAAGCUUCGGGUUAAUACCCUGGAGUCAUGACGGUACCGUAAGAAUAAGCACCGGCUAACUACGUGCCAGCCGCCGCAGUAA
This 502-nucleotide ribosomal RNA is filed under the name uncultured bacterium. RNAcentral describes it as "partial 16S ribosomal RNA". It matches the Rfam family "Bacterial small subunit ribosomal RNA", at positions 30 to 523 of the family's 1533-position model. The record is from RNAcentral.